UGGGGAAUAUUGGACAAUGGGCGAAAGCCUGACGCAGCGACGCCGCGUGAGGGAUGAAGGCCUUCGGGUUGUAAACCUCUUUCAGCAGGGACGAAGCGAAAGUGACUGUACCUGCAGAAGAAGCACCGGCUAACUACGUGCCAGCAGCCGCGGUAAUACGUAGGGUGCAAGCGCUGUCCGGAUUUAUUGGGCGUAAAGAGCUCGUAGGCGGCUUGUCACGUCGGAUGUGAAAACCCGGGGCUCAACCCCGGGCCUGCAUUCGAUACGGGCAGGCUUGAGUGUGGCAGGGGAGACUGGAAUUCCUGGUGUAGCGGUGAAAUGCGCAGAUAUCAGGAGGAACACCGGUGGCGAAGGCGGGUCUCUGGGCCAAUACUGACGCUGAGGAGCGAAAGCGUGGGGAGCAAACAGG
Molecule: ribosomal RNA, 409 nt
Filed under: uncultured bacterium
Lineage: Bacteria
Description: bacterial SSU rRNA
Rfam family: Bacterial small subunit ribosomal RNA
Source: RNAcentral